Molecule: small nucleolar RNA, 128 nt
Organism: Gadus macrocephalus (Pacific cod)
Lineage: Eukaryota; Metazoa; Chordata; Actinopteri; Gadiformes; Gadidae
Source: RefSeq, a predicted model, not a curated record
AUGCACAAUUCACUGUCUCCCCUUACCUUCCAUAAGAGUGGAGAUAUGUCAUUUGUGCUAGAGAAAACUGGAGGUAAAUUAGCGGAGUGGCUUCAUGUGCCUCCUCUGCCAGUCCCCUUCGUACAGAA